This 468-nucleotide ribosomal RNA is filed under the name uncultured bacterium. RNAcentral's name for it is "partial 16S ribosomal RNA". It matches the Rfam family "Bacterial small subunit ribosomal RNA", at positions 28 to 507 of the family's 1533-position model. The record is from RNAcentral.
GACGAACGCUGGCGGCGUGCUUAACACAUGCAAGUCGAACGGAAAGGCCCUGCUUUUGUGGGGUGCUCGAGUGGCGAACGGGUGAGUAACACGUGAGUAACCUGCCCCUGACUUUGGGAUAACUUCAGGAAACUGGGGCUCAUAUCGGAUAGGAGCUCCUGCUGCAUGGUGGGGGUUGGAAAGUUUCGGUGGUUGGGGAUGGACUCGCGGCUUAUCGGCUUGUUGGUGGGGUAGUGGCUUUCAAAGGCUUUGACGGGUAGCCGGCCUGGGAGGGUGACCGGCGACAUGGGGACUGAGAUACGGCCCAGACGCCAACGGGAGGCAGCAGUGGGGAAUAUGGCACAGUGGGCGGAAGCCUGAUGCAGCAACGCCGCGUGCGGGAUGACGGCCUUCGGGUUGUAAACCGCUUUCGCCUGUGACGAAGCGUGAGUGACGGUAAUGGGUAAAGAAGCACCGGCUAACUACGUG